This 536-nucleotide ribosomal RNA is filed under the name uncultured bacterium. RNAcentral describes it as "bacterial SSU rRNA". It matches the Rfam family "Bacterial small subunit ribosomal RNA", at positions 341 to 869 of the family's 1533-position model. The record is from RNAcentral.
ACGGGUGGCAGCAGUCGAGAAUUUUUCUCAAUGGGGGAAACCCUGAAGGAGCGACGCCGCGUGGGGGAUGAAUGGCUUCGGCCCGUAAACCCCUGUCAUUCGGGACCAAAUGUUGUUCAUGAAUAAUGGGCAGCUUGAUUGUACCGGAAGAGGAAGGGACGGCUAACUCUGUGCCAGCAGCCGCGGUAAUACAGAGGUCCCAAGCGUUGUUCGGAUUUACUGGGCGUAAAGGGUGCGUAGGCGGUGGGGUAAGUUUGAGGUGAAAGCUCCGGGCUCAACCCGGAAACUGCCUUGAAUACUAUCCCGCUAGAGGGUUGGAGGGGAGACUGGAAUUCUCGGUGUAGCAGUGAAAUGCGUAGAUCUCGAGAGGAACACCAGUGGCGAAGGCGAGUCUCUGGACAACACCUGACGCUGAGGCACGAAAGCCAGGGGAGCAAACGGGAUUAGAUACCCCGGUAGUCCUGGCCCUAAACGGUGCGUACUUGCUGUAAACGGAUUCGACCCCGCUUGUGGCGCAGUUAACACGAUAAGUACGC